RNAcentral lists this transfer RNA (73 nucleotides) under Humibacillus sp. DSM 29435. It matches the Rfam family "tRNA". Rfam says of the family: Transfer RNA (tRNA) molecules are approximately 80 nucleotides in length. Their secondary structure includes four short double-helical elements and three loops (D, anti-codon, and T loops). Further hydrogen bonds mediate the characteristic L-shaped molecular structure. tRNAs have two regions of fundamental functional importance: the anti-codon, which is responsible for specific mRNA codon recognition, and the 3' end, to which the tRNAs corresponding amino acid is attached (by aminoacyl-tRNA synthetases). tRNAs cope with the degeneracy of the genetic code in two manners: having more than one tRNA (with a specific anti-codon) for a particular amino acid; and 'wobble' base-pairing, i.e. permitting non-standard base-pairing at the 3rd anti-codon position. Lineage: Bacteria; Bacillati; Actinomycetota; Actinomycetes; Micrococcales; Intrasporangiaceae. The record is from Rfam by way of RNAcentral.
GGGCCUGUAGCUCAGUUGGUAGAGCACCGCGUUUACACCGCGGGGGUCGUCGGUUCGAGCCCGGCCGGGCCCA